RNAcentral lists this ribosomal RNA (460 nucleotides) under uncultured bacterium. RNAcentral's name for it is "partial 16S ribosomal RNA". It matches the Rfam family "Bacterial small subunit ribosomal RNA", at positions 338 to 795 of the family's 1533-position model. The record is from RNAcentral.
CCUACGGGUGGCUGCAGUGAGGAAUAUUGGUCAAUGGACGAGAGUCUGAACUAGCCAAGUAGCGUGAAGGAUGACUGCCCUAUGGGUUGUAAACUUCUUUUAUAUGGGAAUAAAAUGUUCCACGUGUGGGCUUUUGUAUGUACCAUAUGAAUAAGGAUCGGCUAACUCCGUUCCAGCAGCGGCGGUAAUACGGAGGAUCCGGGCGUUAUCCGGAUUUAUUGGGUGUAAAGGAGGCGUAGGUAGAUUGUUAAGUCAGUUGUGAAAGUUUGCGGCUCAACCGUAAAAUUGCAGUUGAAACUGGUAGGCUUGAGUACAGUUGAGGGAGGUGGAAUUCGUGGUGUAGCGGUGAAAUGCUUAGAGAUGACGAAGAACUCCGAUUGCGAAGGCAGCUUACUAAACAGAGACUGACAUUGAUGCUCGAAAGUGUGGGGAUCAAACAGGAUUAGAUACCCGUGUAGUC